This is a long non-coding RNA of Marmota monax (woodchuck), 1107 nucleotides long. RefSeq lists it as uncharacterized. The transcript is spliced from 2 exons. The record is from RefSeq and is a predicted model, not a curated record. Lineage: Eukaryota; Metazoa; Chordata; Mammalia; Rodentia; Sciuridae.
UUUGGGCUCGUGAUUGUGUGCCCAGCCAGACUGCGGCAUUUGUGCCCAGCCAGACUGUGGCAUUUGGUGGCCCGUACGGGGAACUUCUGAAGCUUAGAGGUAAGUGAAAUUUCUCACCCUUGAGGAAGAGAGAAAGAAUGGGUGACCAAUUCAAAAAACAAUGUGUUCUCAUUUUAAUUUAUUUUGUUUUUAUUUCAAGUUGCCUGUUCCUAGAACUUUCUCAGGCAAACUGGGGAAAAUGGUUGACUCAAGGGGAACUCAGGCAGCAGGAUAUGCCCUAUUCCCAGCAGGAAUAAUCUUAAACCUUAAACCUGGAACCUAAACCGGGAACGCCCUAAACACGAUUAUCUUAAAACCGGGAACACCCUAAUCAAUGCCACAGUCUGGCUGGGCACAAAUGCCGCAGUCUGGCUGGGCACACAAUCACGAGCCACCACACAGCUUGUAGAUUCAAACAGCAACUCUUUAUUCCCGAACUCACACCAGCCGUCUACAAUCACAUUCUGGGGAAAUCCACGUUCUCUGCCCAAAUCCACUUCCACUGGGCUUCUAUCUCCAAAAUAUAUUGUCUGAAUCCCGUGAGAACUCAAGGGGAACUCAGGCAGCAGGAUACGCCCUAUUCCCAGCAGGAAUAAUCUUAAACCUUAAACCUGGAACCUAAACCGGGAACGCCCUAAACACGAUUAUCUUAAAACCGGGAACACCCUAAUCUGCCUUGGUCCUUGAGCAAGGUCACUUACAUUCAAUGUCACUGCAACAUGUCAGCAACAUGGGGUACGCUGGCAAGGAAAUUGUCAUACCUACUUGGCUAAUGGCUCCCAGCAAUUCUAUACACUAGUUUUUUUUUUCUGUGAUUUUAUUCUGGUAGUACCGGUGAACCCGAACUGUGUGACAGAAGCAAUCUGGUUGAAAAUUGUGCUGAAAAGAAGUCCGCUGAAUCCUAGAAGACAUUUCCUUGUGAAGCUGGCUUCCAUCCUAAAGACUGUGUAAGAGUGUGAGAUGUUAACCUUCAUAGUCAUUGGAAAGUAAUGUUUUUGGUUUCAUCUUUGACUUAAUUACAUUAAUUUCAAAUAAAAAAGAACCUACAAUAAAAUUUAUUGUGCUUAA